UGAGUACGAGCUGCUACGGCAGCGAAGUGGGUGAUGUCAAGCUUCCAAGAAAAGCCCUAUACCCGUUAAGGCAUGACGGCCUGUACCCGAAACCGACACAGGUGGGGUGGUAGAGAAUACCGAGGGGCGCGAGAUGACUCUCUCUAAGGAACUCGGCAAAAUGGCCCCGUAACUUCGGGAGAAGGGGUGCCACCGCAAGGUGGUCGCAGUGAAGAGGCCCAGGCGACUGUUUACCAAAAACACAGGUCUCCGCUAAGUCGCAAGACGAUGUAUGGGGGCUGACGCCUGCCCAGUGCCGGAAGGUUAAGGAAGCUGGUCAGCGCAAGCGAAGCUAGCGACUGAAGCCCCGGUGAACGGCGGCCGUAACUAUAACGGUCCUAAGGUAGCGAAAUUCCUUGUCGGGCAAGUUCCGACCCGCACGAAAGGCGUAACGAUCUGGGCGCUGUCUCGGAGAGAGGCUCGGCGAAAUAGAAUUGUCUGUGAAGAUGCGGACUACGUGCACCCGGACAGAAAGACCCUAUGAAGCUUUACUGUAGCUUGGUAUUGUGCCCGGGCUCUGAAUGCGCAGGAUAGGUGGGAGGCUUUGAUCCAUUGCUUGUGGGUAAUGGUGAGCCACUGGUGAGAUACCACUCUUUCAGAGCUAGGGUUCUAACGGUCACCCGUUAUCCGGGGACCGGACAGUAUCAGGUGGGCAGUUUGACUGGGGCGGUCGCCUCCUAAAAGGUAACGGAGGCGCGCAAGGUUCCCUCAGGCUGGUUGGAAAUCAGCCGACGAGUGUAAAGGCAGAAGGGAGCUUGACUGUGAGACCUACAAGUCGAACAGGGACGAAAGUCGGCCUUAGUGAUCCGACGGUUCUGAGUGGAAGGGCCGUCGCUCAACGGAUAAAAGUUACUCUAAGGAUAACAGGCUGAUCUCCCCCAAGAGUUCACAUCGACGGGGAGGUUUGGCACCUCGAUGUCGGCUCAUCGCAACCUGGGGCUGAAGUCGGUCCCAAGGGUUGGGCUGUUCGCCCAUUAAAGCGGUACGCGAGCUGGGUUCAGAACGUCGUGAGACAGUUCGGUCCAUAUCCGGUGCACGCGCAGGAACAUUGAGAGGAUUUCUCCCUAGUACGAGAGGACCGGGAGGAACGCACCUCUGGUGUACCAGUUAUCGUGCCAACGGUAAACGCUGGGUAGCCAUGUGCGGAGCGGAUAACCGCUGAAAGCAUCUAAGUGGGAAGCCCACCUCAAGAUGAGUGUUCCCAUGGCAUAAGCCAGUAAGGUCACGGGAAGAACACCCGUUGAUAGGCUCUACGUGGAAGCGUGGCAACACGUGAAGCGGAGGAGUACUAAUAGACCGAGGGCUUGACC
Molecule: ribosomal RNA, 1349 nt
Filed under: metagenome
Description: bacterial LSU rRNA
Rfam family: Bacterial large subunit ribosomal RNA
Source: RNAcentral